This 159-nucleotide ribosomal RNA is filed under the name Alternaria alternata. RNAcentral describes it as "5.8S ribosomal RNA". It matches the Rfam family "5.8S ribosomal RNA". From Rfam's summary of the family: 5.8S ribosomal RNA (5.8S rRNA) is a component of the large subunit of the eukaryotic ribosome. It is transcribed by RNA polymerase I as part of the 45S precursor that also contains 18S and 28S rRNA. Lineage: Eukaryota; Fungi; Ascomycota; Dothideomycetes; Pleosporales; Pleosporaceae. RNAcentral also lists the same sequence under 1 other name. The record is from RNAcentral.
UAAUUACAACUUUCAACAACGGAUCUCUUGGUUCUGGCAUCGAUGAAGAACGCAGCGAAAUGCGAUAAGUAGUGUGAAUUGCAGAAUUCAGUGAAUCAUCGAAUCUUUGAACGCACAUUGCGCCCUUUGGUAUUCCAAAGGGCAUGCCUGUUCGAGCGU